This 253-nucleotide ribosomal RNA is filed under the name uncultured bacterium. RNAcentral describes it as "partial 16S ribosomal RNA". It matches the Rfam family "Bacterial small subunit ribosomal RNA", at positions 524 to 776 of the family's 1533-position model. The record is from RNAcentral.
GACAGAGGCCUCAAGCGUUAGGCGGAAUCACUGGGCUUAAAGCGUGUGUAGGCGGACGCCUAAGUGUCUUGUGAAAUCCCACGGCUCAACCGUGGAACGGCUGGGUAUACUGGCGGUCUUGGGCCAUUCAGGGGCGACUGGAACAAGCGGUGGAGCGGUGAAAUGCGUAGAUAUCGCUUGGAACGCCGAAGGUGAAAACAGGUCGCUGGGGAUGUGCCGACGCUGAGACACGAAAGCCAGGGGAGCAAACGGG